This 337-nucleotide unclassified non-coding RNA is filed under the name soil metagenome. RNAcentral's name for it is "partial contains 5.8S ribosomal RNA, internal transcribed spacer 2, and large subunit ribosomal RNA". The stretch from base 1 to 120 matches the Rfam family "5.8S ribosomal RNA", at positions 35 to 154 of the family's 154-position model. The record is from RNAcentral.
GAUGAAGAACGCAGCGAAAUGCGAUAAGUAGUGUGAAUUGCAGAAUUCAGUGAAUCAUCGAAUCUUUGAACGCACAUUGCGCCCCUUGGUAUUCCAUGGGGCAUGCCUGUUCGAGCGUCAUUUGUACCUUCAAGCUCUGCUUGGUGUUGGGUGUUUGUCUCGCCUCUGCGUGUAGACUCGCCUCAAAACAAUUGGCAGCCGGCGUAUUGAUUUCGGAGCGCAGUACAUCUCGCGCUUUGCACUCAUAACGACGACGUCCAAAAGUACAUUUUUACACUCUUGACCUCAGAUCAGGUAGGGAUACCCGCUGAACUUAAGCAUAUCAAUAAGCGGAGGA